UCCAUUUAUUGUCUGAGGUUGAAGUGA
RNAcentral lists this small RNA (27 nucleotides) under Bombyx mori (domestic silkworm). RNAcentral's name for it is "ovarian small RNA-27114". Lineage: Eukaryota; Metazoa; Arthropoda; Insecta; Lepidoptera; Bombycidae. The record is from RNAcentral.